UACGGAGGGGGCUAGCGUUGUUCGGAAUUACUGGGCGUAAAGCGCACGUAGGCGGCUUUCUAAGUCAGGGGUGAAAUCCUGGAGCUCAACUCCAGAACUGCCUUUGAUACUGGAGAGCUUGAGUCCGGGAGAGGUGAGUGGAACUCCGAGUGUAGAGGUGAAAUUCGUAGAUAUUCGGAAGAACACCAGUGGCGAAGGCGGCUCACUGGCCCGGUACUGACGCUGAGGUGCGAAAGCGUGGGGAGCGAACAGG
This 253-nucleotide ribosomal RNA is filed under the name uncultured bacterium. RNAcentral describes it as "partial 16S ribosomal RNA". It matches the Rfam family "Bacterial small subunit ribosomal RNA", at positions 524 to 776 of the family's 1533-position model. The record is from RNAcentral.